RNAcentral lists this ribosomal RNA (489 nucleotides) under uncultured bacterium. RNAcentral describes it as "bacterial SSU rRNA". It matches the Rfam family "Bacterial small subunit ribosomal RNA", at positions 903 to 1397 of the family's 1533-position model. The record is from RNAcentral.
AAAUGAAUAGACGGGAGCCCGCACAAGCAGUGGAGUAUGUGGUUUAAUUCGAAGCAACGCGAAGAACCUUACCAGGGCUUGACAUCCACAGGAGGCCGAGUAAAAUUGGCUGUGCCCUUCGGGGAACUGUGAGACAGGUGGUGCAUGGUUGUCGUCAGCUCGUGUCGUGAGAUGUUGGGUUAAGUCCCGCAACGAGCGCAACCCUUACAGUUAGUUGCUACGGAAGAGCACUCUAACAGGACUGCCGUUGACAAAACGGAGGAAGGUGGGGACGACGUCAAAUCAUCAUGCCCCUUACGCUCUGGGCUACACACGUACUACAAUGGCGCAAACAGAGGGGAGCAAUACCGCGAGGUGGAGCAAAUCCCAAAAAUGCGUCUCAGUUCAGAUUGCAGGCUGCAAUUCGCCUGCAUGAAGAUGGAAUUGCUAGUAAUCGCGAAUCAGAAUGUCGCGGUGAAUACGUUCCCGGGCUUUGUACACACCGCCCGU